RNAcentral lists this long non-coding RNA (985 nucleotides) under Marmota monax (woodchuck). Lineage: Eukaryota; Metazoa; Chordata; Mammalia; Rodentia; Sciuridae. The record is from RNAcentral.
GUAUAAUCUAGUUUGGAAAUCAAGAUGGAGAAACAUGAGAAAUUAUAUAAGAAAAUUGUAAAAAUAACUAUCUUUUCUCGGGUAUCUUCCUGUAUUAGGUGAUAGCAUGUUUCUUUAUACAUUCAGCUUAUUAAAUUCAGAGGACAUCCAAUGAGGCAGGGGCUAUAAUCUUUGUUUCAUAGAGGAAGAGACUGAAGAUCAGAGAAAUUUGGUGAUUUGCCUAAAGUUUCACAGGAACUAAUGGAAUCAAGAUGGAGGAGAUCCGUGUGUCUCUCCGAGCCCACUGCACAAUGGUAAAAAUACACCAUGUCUGAUGAACAGCCAACUGAGUCGAAUUGAGGAAAGUAUCUUGUUCUCAGAGCUAAGAGAACUCUCAGGCCUGAACUACAGCAAAGUGUGUCUGUGUCUGUGUCUGGGACAAUCUGGACAGGCAGAACAAAAGGGGUUAGUAUCUCAGGGAAGUGGGAAUGGUAUAGUCAGGUGAGCAAAUUGGUAGCAAAGGGCAGUCGACAAGAUCCAAGUGCCCUGAUUCAUCUGGAAGGGGAUUCCAGAAGCAGCACUAGGUAUAGCAAGCGUACCACUGGCACCUAGAGCAACCAGCUGCCCUCCCUGGAUUGCUGGUGACAUCUUUGAUUCCAGUGGUUGUUCUCUUCUCAGCUGCAAGGAUCCACUGACAACAGGGGUUAUGUUAUCAACAAAAUUGAGAUUUUUUUCCUUUCUCAGAAUACCCACCAGCAGCCAAGAGGGAGGAUGGUCCUGUCCACUGUGGAAGGGGACGUGUUCAGACCCCAGCACAUUGCAUGGCCUGUACACUUUUCAGGGCAGGAUGGGUGUACACCCAAUAUGGUCUGAGGGACACUGUCCUAGGAAAACUGUGAAACUGUCAUAAGGAAUUUUACCUGAGUUCUAGGAUACCAGGAAGCAACUCUGGAAACCACAUUCAUUUCUUCAGAAAAAUCAAACACCCUGAUUCCUUCCAACCCAG